Molecule: ribosomal RNA, 298 nt
Filed under: Escherichia coli
Lineage: Bacteria; Pseudomonadati; Pseudomonadota; Gammaproteobacteria; Enterobacterales; Enterobacteriaceae
Description: partial 23S ribosomal RNA
Rfam family: Bacterial large subunit ribosomal RNA
Source: RNAcentral
AAUCACCGCACCUUACGUGUGUGGUGGUGUGCCUAUUGAAGCAUGAGCCGGCGACUUAGACCUACCUAGCAAGCUUAAGUGGCUACACGGAGGCGGAGCGAAAGCGAGUCCGAACAGGGCGUGCAGUUAGGUGGGCUAGACUCGAAACCAGGUGAGCUACGCAUGACCAGGUUGAACCGCCCGUGACAGGGCGUGGAGGACCGAACCGGUGCCUGCUGAAACAGUCUCGGAUGAGUUGUGUGUAGGAGUGAAAAGCUAACCGAACCUGGAGAUAGCUAGUUCUCCCCGAAAUGUAUUG